UGAGUAACACGUAUCCAACCUGCCGUCUACUCUUGGCCAGCCUUCUGAAAGGGAGAUUAAUACAAGAUGGCAUCAUGAGUCCACAUGUUCACAUGAUUAAAGGUAUUCCGGUAGACGAUGGGGAUGCGUUCCAUUAGAUAGUAGGCGGGGUAACGGCCCACCUAGUCUUCGAUGGAUAGGGGUUCUGAGAGGAAGGUCCCCCACAUUGGAACUGAGACACGGUCCAA
This 227-nucleotide ribosomal RNA is filed under the name uncultured bacterium. Its description in RNAcentral is "partial 16S ribosomal RNA". It matches the Rfam family "Bacterial small subunit ribosomal RNA", at positions 107 to 334 of the family's 1533-position model. The record is from RNAcentral.